Molecule: ribosomal RNA, 468 nt
Filed under: uncultured bacterium
Lineage: Bacteria
Description: partial 16S ribosomal RNA
Rfam family: Bacterial small subunit ribosomal RNA
Source: RNAcentral
GACGAACGCUGGCGGCGUGCUUAACACAUGCCAGUCGAACGGAAAGGCCCUGCUUUUGUGGGGUGCUCGAGUGGCGAACGGGUGAGUAACACGUGAGUAACCUGCCCUUGACUUUGGGAUAACUUCAGGAAACUGGGGCUAAUACCGGAUAGGAGCUCCUGCUGCAUGGUGGGGGUUGGAAAGUUUCGGCGGUUGGGGAUGGACUCGCGGCUUAUCAGCUUGUUGGUGGAGUAGUGGCUUACCAAGGCUUUGACGGGUAGCCGGCCUGAGAGGGUGACCGGCCACAUUGGGACUGAGAGCCGGCCCGGACUCCUACGGGAGGCAGCAGUGCGGAAUAUUGACCAAUGGGCGGAAGCCUGAAGCAGCAACGCCGCGUGCGGGAUGACGGCCUUCGGGUUGUAAACCGCUUUCGCCUGUGACGAGGCGUGAGUGACGGUAAUGGGUAAAGAAGCACCGGCUAACUACGUG